GGUCAAGAAGAAAAGGGCACAUGGUGGAUGCCUUGGCGCUAAGAGCCGAAGAAGGGCGUGGAAAGCUGCGAAAAGCCACGAGGAGCCGCAAGCAGGCGUUGAACCGUGGAUACCCGAAUGGGGCAACCCGGCGGAGCAAAACUCCGUCACCCUAUGCUGAACACAUAGGCAUAGAGGAGGGCACCCGGGGAACUGAAACAUCUAAGUACCCGGAGGAAAAGAAAGAAACAUCGAACCCCCAAGUAGCGGCGAGCGAAAAGGGGCGAGCCUAAACCAGAAUUCUUCGGAAAUCUGGGGUUGCGGGACCUUCAUCACGUAAUUGCUAGUCCUAGUCGAAGCCACCUGGAAAGGUGCUGCACAGAAGGUA
This 367-nucleotide ribosomal RNA is filed under the name Desulforamulus aquiferis. Its description in RNAcentral is "partial 23S ribosomal RNA". It matches the Rfam family "Bacterial large subunit ribosomal RNA", at positions 1 to 366 of the family's 2925-position model. Lineage: Bacteria; Bacillati; Bacillota; Clostridia; Eubacteriales; Peptococcaceae. The record is from RNAcentral.